Mobula hypostoma (lesser devil ray) is the source of this 886-nucleotide long non-coding RNA. RefSeq lists it as uncharacterized. NCBI's taxonomy places the organism in Eukaryota, Metazoa, Chordata, Chondrichthyes, Myliobatiformes, Myliobatidae. The record is from RefSeq and is a predicted model, not a curated record. The transcript has 3 exons.
GGAAGUCUGCCGCCACGUCACUCUACCACUAAAACUUCCAUUACUCUCUAAUACUUAGCAUAUUUUGAAAGGAAGUUCAAUUUGCUCUCUUGGUGGUGUCUCAGGAAGGAGGAAUUCAUCAUUAAGGACCCCCAUGGUCUGGGACAUGCCCUCUUCACAUUCCUACCAUUCGCUCCGAAGUCCAGCGCUGAUGCCACAAUGCCACCAGCCGGCCAAAUCUGUUUAGUGAAUUCGCUUAAAGACUUGCCAGCCGUGAAGGAAGUCUCCUCCUCUCUUCAUGCUGAGUGUCAUCCAAGCUGCAAAUCAUCCUCCAGAUCAGAAAUUUGGGUGUGGUAAAAGAUUGCGCACACAAAAUAAUAACACCACUGUAAAAACCAACAUUGACAGUGGGGCAAAAAAGAGCUGAAGGUUUUUCCAUCCAUCAGUUUCAGUGUCUGUACAAUCAGUAUUGUUAUUAGUAGAGAUAUUUCUCUAUUUAUGCAAGUUCUCUAGAAUUCAAUGAAUUUCAACAGCAGGGCUUGGGAAAUCAAAUUGUUUCUCUACAAUUUUUUCUCUGUUUGUGUUUCCAAAGUUUGAAAACAGAAGCUCUUUAUUUCUACUCUUAAAACUGCUCUGAAAUGGAGAAUGCUUAGCAUUUUCACAUGAUGCCAAUUUACAUGUUCGUAAACAUCUUCAUGACACAGAGAAAAAUGCUUUGAAGUGCAGAAAAUGCUGUUGUAUAACCGAAUCAUGGGAAUGUUUCGCAAACACUGUGAAAUUUUAUGUACAGGGAUAAAGAAAAAUAGGGACAAUCUAAUUGGCUUCUUUGUGAGAUACCUUCCUCAUGACGCCAUAGGACCUGUGACACUGUGACACAAGUCCAUUAGCUGAGUGCCACAUUAAAUGC